UUUAUUUUGAGAUGGAGUCUUGCUCUGUCACCUAGGCUGGAGCGCAGUGGCACGAUCUUGGCUCACUGCAACCUCCACCUCCCAGGAGAAUCCCCUGAAUCCCAGAGGCAGAGGUUGCAGUGAGCCGAGAUCGAGCCACUGUUUGCCCAGUCUAGUGCACUGGGCUGCUGAAUUUAUUUGACCAGACACCUAGCAAUAGACUUUGAAGUUCUUUUCCACUUUUCACUCUAAGAUGCUGCUGUCAUGAAUAAGGAAUUUUUUGAUCCCCUUCACAAACACUCGGGGCCCUCUUACCAGUUUUCACUGAAGAUCUUGACAUUCCUAUCUGCUUAGGUGUCUGGGUGUGUUUGGGGGAGAUACUGAAGAGGUAGGGCUCCCAGGCAGGUGCAGUUCGUCUGUUAGGCAGGCAGCAAGGUCCACUUCACCAAACACCCCCACCUCUGUUUUCCUGCAGGGACUCCAGAACGGGUGGAACUGGCACCCCUCCCCUCUUGGCAGCCAGUGGGCAAGGACCUUACCCUACGCUGCCAGGUGGAGGGUGGGGCACCCCGGGCCAACCU
RNAcentral lists this small RNA (560 nucleotides) under Pan troglodytes (chimpanzee). RNAcentral's name for it is "processed transcript". Lineage: Eukaryota; Metazoa; Chordata; Mammalia; Primates; Hominidae. The record is from RNAcentral.